Long non-coding RNA from Anolis carolinensis (green anole), 2422 nucleotides. RefSeq lists it as uncharacterized. The transcript is spliced from 2 exons. Lineage: Eukaryota; Metazoa; Chordata; Lepidosauria; Squamata; Anolidae. The record is from RefSeq and is a predicted model, not a curated record.
CGUGCCUGGACUAGAUGGCCUUUGGAGGUCCCUUCCAAGGAUGCUCUGCUUCCGGGAUGCUCAUGCCUUCUCCUUCCUCCUUCUCCUGCUGCAGGCGAGUGCGUGGAGGGCCUGGGCGACCACAGCCUGGAGGACGACGUGGUGGGACCCAAGAUGGGCCUCCAGUUCCCAGAAUUUCUAUUCCACCCUUCUUUCUCAGCCCGAAGAGGACUCAGGGCGGAUCACAACGCAAACAUUCAAUGCAGUUUUUGGACAUACAACACUUACAGACAGAUGUAAUUCAACAUUCUUCCAACUUUGGCUUCAGGUUAUGAUUGAUUCCGGCCACAGGGGGAGCUGCUGCUUCAUCUGCUCUGACGCCGAGUCCGUUUUGAUCAUAGUAUCUCCUCCUUGCUCCUUGAUCGCCGGCAGUUUUAUGGUGUCAUAAAUUAAAUUAACCUCUAAUUUCAAAUUUCUCUACUCAAAGUGGCAGCUGUUUUUGAACUGCCUAGUAGACAGUAAGCUAGGCUAUUGACAGUCAGAUGCACAAUCUGACUCAGGCUACGAACUUGCCAUCAUCCAGUGAUCUAUUGUUGCUGGCGGUUAGCCAGCUGCGCUACAGCCCAGAUCUUGCAACAAAGGGAGGGAUGUGUGGCCAAAGGCUUUCACCCAAUGCAGGACCCCGACAGAGCUCUCCAUACAGGCAAAUGGGUGCUGGUCAAGUCACCCCUCUCCUGGGCUCUUGGUGAGGCUCCCUUCUCCUGCACAGUGUGGAAGGGGCUGCCUUCAAUGGGGGGAGUGUUCCUGGUCUGGCAGGGACUUGAACCCUGGUCCCCCAGAGCCCUAGGUCUCCCAUCAUCCCAGUCCAACACUCCACCAAGCCUUCUUUGCAAGAGUCCCUGCAAUGGAGAACGGAUGCCGCUUGAUGCCAUGCUAAUGGACAUUACAUUACGCCUUGCUGUGGAACCCUGGGAGUUGCAGUUUGGUGAGAAUCAGCAUUGCUUGGCAGAGAAGGCUUAAAGGGCUGCGGUGGUGCAAUGGGUUAACCCUUGGGCUGCUGAACUGCUGACCUGAAGAUUGGCAGUUGGAAUCAGCGGGACGGAGUGAGCUCCUGCUGACAGUCCUAGCUCAUGUGUGACGCUCCAGUGUGAAGGCUGCUGUGUGUAAAGCUACUGCGUGAAGCUCCUGUGUACGUUCGGUGUGAGAGGAGGCUCUGUGAAAACAAAGCUGAUUAUCUGCAUGAGAAAGAAGCCCAGCAUGGAAGCAAAGACGGAAGUAUAAAGAACUUUAUUGGUGUUAUGGAAGCCUUGUAACCUGUGAGAGACUUCAGUGUGAGAUCUCUGUGGGAGAAUAGUCCUGUUAGUAGGCCUCAGAGUGUGAAGUAGGCCUCGAUGUGAGAAGGCCUCGUGGGUGAAGAUCCAGUGUGAAGGUUGAGAAGCUCCAGGCUGAAGGCCUCGUGUGAGAAGCUCCAGCGUGAAGGCUGCUGUGUGUAAAGCUACUGCAUGAAGCUCCUGUGUAAGUUCGGUGUGAGAGGAGGCUCUGUGAAAACAAAGCUGUUUAUCUGCAUGAGAAAGCCCAGCACAGAAGCAAAGAAGGAAGUAUAAAGAACUUUACUGGUGUUAUGGAAGCCUUGUAACCUCAGUGUGAGAUCUCUGUGAGAAAAUAGGCCUCAGUGUUAGUAGGCCUCAGAGUGUGAGGUAGGCCUCGAUAUGAGGCCGCCUCGUGGGUGAAGCUCCAGUGUGAAGGUUGAGAAGCUCCAGGCUGAAGGUCUCGUGUGAGAAGCUCCAGUGUGAAGGCUGCUGUAUGUAAAGCUACAGCGUGAAGCUCCUGUGUAAGUUCUGUAUGAGAAGAGGCUCUGUGAGAGCGAAGCUGUUUACCUGCAUGAGAAAGAAGCCUAGCGUGGAAGCAAACAAGGAAGUAUAAAGAACUUUAUUGGUGUUAUGGAAGCUUUGUGACCUCAGUGUGAGACCUCAGUGUGAGAUCUCUGUGGGAAAAUAGGCCUCAGUGUUAAUAGGCCUCAGAGUGUGAGGUGGGCCUCGGUAUAAGAAAGCCUCAUGUGUGAAGCUCCAGUGUGAAGGCUGCUGUGUGUAAAACAACUGCGUGAAGCUCCUAUGUAAGUUUGGUGUGAGAGGAGGCUCUGUGAGAGCGAAGCUGUUUAUCUGCAUGAGAAAGAAGCCCAGCACGGAAGCAAAGAAGGAAGUAUAAAGAACCUUAUUGGUGUUAUGGAAGCUUUGUAACCUCAGUGUGAGAUCUCUGUGGGAGAAUAGGCCUCAGAGUGUGAGGUGGGCCUCGGUAUAAGGCAGCCUCAUGUGUGAAGCUCUAGUGUGAAGGCUGCUGUGUGUAAAGCUACUGCAUGAAGCUCCUAUGUUAGUGCGAGAGGAGGCUCUGUGAGAGCGAGGCUGUUUAUCUGCAUGAGAAAGAAGCUCAGAGCGGAAGCAAAGAA